RNAcentral lists this ribosomal RNA (296 nucleotides) under uncultured bacterium. RNAcentral's name for it is "partial 16S ribosomal RNA". It matches the Rfam family "Bacterial small subunit ribosomal RNA", at positions 338 to 651 of the family's 1533-position model. The record is from RNAcentral.
CCUACGGGGCGCAGCAGUGGGGAAUAUUGCACAAUGGGGGAAACCCUGAUGCAGCAACGCCGCGUGGGUGAAGGAGCGUUUCGGCGCGUAAAGCCCUGUCAGCGGGGAAGAAGAAAGACGGUACCCGACCAAGAAGCCCCGGCUAACUACGUGCCAGCAGCCGCGGUAAUACGUAGGGAGCGAGCGUUGUCCGGAAUUACUGGGUGUAAAGGGAGCGUAGGCGGGGAUGCAAGUUGGGUGUUAAAUCUACCGGCUCAACUGGUAGUCGCACUCAAAACUGCAGCUCUUGAGUGAAG